AGCAGGUAUAACUCAAUUGGUAGAGUGUAAUCUUGCCAAGAUUAAAGAUAAGGGUUCGAAUCCCUUUACUUGCUUC
RNAcentral lists this transfer RNA (76 nucleotides) under Fistulifera solaris. RNAcentral describes it as "tRNA-Gly". It matches the Rfam family "tRNA". From Rfam's summary of the family: Transfer RNA (tRNA) molecules are approximately 80 nucleotides in length. Lineage: Eukaryota; Bacillariophyta; Bacillariophyceae; Naviculales; Stauroneidaceae. The record is from RNAcentral.